Molecule: long non-coding RNA, 13663 nt
Filed under: Triticum aestivum (bread wheat)
Lineage: Eukaryota; Viridiplantae; Streptophyta; Magnoliopsida; Poales; Poaceae
Description: long non-coding RNA (TAES_LNC009509)
Source: RNAcentral
GGCAACAAGCCUCGUAGUGGAAGCGUGCAAGAACGCUUCGGGCGAGACCCAAGACCCCGAUGUCACAAAGGAAUUCUGUUUGUCGACCCUCCAGUCGGACAAGCGGAGCGCCGAGGCUAAAGACCUCCCUGGCUUGGUGCUCGUCUCCAUCGACAUCCUUAAGGGCCGUGUCACUGAUGCUAGUGUCAAGGUCAAGAAAAUGCUACGAAACGCCAAAAAAGGCACAAUGGCGAUGCACGCUCUCAGUAUUUGUGAGCUGCAAUAUGAGAACGUGGUGAGCACGCUCAACAUCUGCCAAGCCAUGAUUAAGGAUCACCAAGGUGACAAGGGCAUCCUGCAGUCCUUGCGUCUGCCCCACUGUGUGGAUAUCGCCUGCGACACUUCCAACGAGUGCCAAACUGAUCUUGAAGAUGUGCCAGGGACGGAGGCGCUGCAAAUUGAUAACGAGAGGCUGCGCAUUCUGUUCAACCUCAACGCCGCCUUGGUUGUACCAUAUGAUGUCCGUGAUUAGAAUAGUAUAAUGAUUGUUUUUUAUCUGCGAGAAAGGAUAAUAAAUUUGAAAUAAUAAUCAUAACGUUUGCUGUGGCAUAAAUUUGACUCAUUUUUGUCUUAUGGUAUAUACCCAUGGAUGGUUAUGAUCAUCCACACAACAUUAAUCACGAACAGAAAUGAGUAAGCCAGAAUGUUAGUACUAUUUGGAUAAAGAAUAUAUACCUCUAGCACGUCUACACAAUAUAUAUCUGCUAUCUUUGAAUAUGAUGAAGAUAAAAGGAACUUGACGUGUAGAGCAAGGCGGGCAUUGGCCAUCCCAUGUCUCGAUCGCCUCCAGAAAGCUGGCACGGCACGUUUGGUGGCUAUGCUAACCUUAUGCUUUGUGUUGGCUUUGUUUUUUCCUUUGCUAGCUAAUGCGUUAGCAUGCACACUGUAACUGGCCGGCAUUCUUUGUCCUCCUUCUAAUCAAUCCAAAUACGCGGCUCUCCUGUAAAUCUCGAGUGCAUGGAUCCUUGCUACAGCGUCAAGGAGAUAUGAGUUGGUCGCGCUGCUGAACCCCUCCUUUUUUUGGAUGAUUUGUAGCUGUAUUGGGAUUUCAGCCGAGGAUUUGUUAUUUGUGAUGUUGGAUGUUGUCCCAUGUUUGUGCAGGAUUGGAUACAUCAUGAUCACUGAUGUCAAGAAGGGUUCAUCGUCCUAAUGAAGCUGAGUAAGAUCGACUGCCUCUUUGGUGCUUCUGCAAUUGGGAAUUAUGUUACUUGUGACUUGAGUGGCUUUGGAGAACAGAGCUUACUUGCACUUCCUGGAAUAUAAUCAUCAUUUGUGAUUUUGCUAUGUAUUCACUAGUAGAAAACAGACUUUACGUUCGGAUCAUUAGUCCCGGUUUGGAUUCGGCCCGGGACUAAUGUGACUAUUAGUCCCGGUUUCAACGGCUAGGAGCGUGUCCCGGUUUGUGUUACAAACCGGUACUAAAUGGGCUCUUGGGCCCCAGCCUGACGCCCCUUUAGUCCCGGUUUGUACCACAAACCGGGACUAAUGAUGCUCGUGCCUCCGAUCGCUCCUAGCCGUUGGAACCGGGACUAAUGAUGCCCGUGCCCCAGACCGCUCUUACAUAAACCCUUCGUCCAGCCCAAGCCCAUUCUCUCUGUUUUCCCCUUUCUCUCCUCUGUUCUUCCACUUGCUCGAGCUCUUCCUCCAUUUUUGCCAAGAUUUGUCAAAAUAUGGAGACACCCCAUCUAUCCAAGUGUUCACAAAGGUUAGCAACUUUGUCCUUUCAUCCCUCAUUGCUAGAUUAGCUCGUGCAAUGCUCUAUAAGUAUAGUGAUUUGUGGGUUUUAGUUUGGGAGUUUGUUUGAUUUAUAUGCAAUUUGAGCAAAAGUUAACUUCUUAGUUUGCAUGUGUGUAGUUGUGGUUUCUGGGUAUCAAGAGGGAAUGUGUCCGGUUUGUGCAGGAAGUGCGGGGCAUGUUGCUCCGGUGGCCUUGAAACUUCGUGUGCUCCCAAAGGAGGCCAUCGCAUGACACGUGCCACGCCCCCCGCAUUUUCCAGGCACGUGUGCAAUAUUCGAGAAAUUUAUUGCUCUGCUAGGGUUUCAUCGCCGAAAAUUCUAGAUCUGCAAGGCACCACAUGAAAUUAUGCCCGGAAGUGGCAUGGGAAAUCCUGUGUGAUGUCAUAGGAAAAUAAAGACCGAGCACCUAUCUGAUGGCCCUCGCCCGGUUCUACAGACCAAGCACCCAUCCGGUGGCCCCUACGGUCUAGGGCGUUGACCGGCACCGAGAGGGGGUAGGCCACGGUGAACAACUGCUUCUUCGUGUUACGAAAGGUCAUCGCGAGAUGACAAACCAAGUCUAAGCCCGUUCUGUCACGGGAUCGCCCACCGAAGACUCGGUUUCGCAGAGGGCCAAGCAAAUGCCCGAGUUGAGAGAUAUGAAGUCUCCAACAAGUUCUAUAGCUGCAAGAUGGAGGAGAACCAUUCUGUCAGUGAGCACAUACUCAGAAUGUCUAGGUAUCAUAACCACUUGACUCAGCUGGGAGUUAAUCUUCGGGAUGAUAGUGUUAUUGACAGAGUUCUUCAAUCACUGCCACCAAGCUACAAAGGCUUCAUGGUGAACUAUAAUAUGCAAGGGAUGGAUAAGAAAGUUUUAUUGCUAUUGCUUUCUUCAUGACUUAUACAUAUUCGUUUGACUAUGAGAUUAUGCAACUCCCGGAUACCGGAGGAAUACCUUGUGUGCUAUCAAACGUCACAACGUAACUGGGUGAUUAUAAAGAUGCUCUACAGGUAUCUCCGAAGUUGUUUUGUUGGGUCGGCAUAGAUCGAGAUUAGGAUUUGUCACUCCGAGUAUCAGAGAGGUAUCUUGGGCCCUCUCAGUAAUGCACAUCAUGAUAAGCCUUGCAAGCAAUGUGACUAAAGAGUUAGUUACGGGAUGAUGUAUUACGGAACGAGUAAAGAGACUUGCCGGUAACGAGAUUGAACUAGGUAUGAAGAUACCGACCACCGAAUCUCGGGCAAGUAACAUACCGAUGACAAAGGGAAUAACGUAUGUUGUCAUUACGGUACGACCAAUAAAGAUCUUCGUAGAAUAUGUGGGAACCAAUAUGAGCAUCCAGGUUCCGCUGUUGGUUAUUGACCGGAGAGGUGUCUCGGUCAUGUCUACAUAGUUCUCGAGCCCGUAGGGUCAGCACGCUUAAUGUUCGAUGACGAUUUGUAUUAUAUGAGUUAUGUGAUUUGGUGACCGAAUGUUGUUCGGAGUUCCGGAUGAGAUCAAGGACAUGACGAGGAGUCUUGAAAUUGGUCAAGAGGUAAAGAUUGAUAUAUUGGAUGAUAGUAUUCGGACACCGGAAGUGUUCCGGGAUGUAUCGGGUGCAUAUUGGAGUACCGGGGGGGCUUACCGGAACCCCCCGGGAAAAAAUAUGGGCUAUAUGGGCCAUAGGAGGGAGGCACACCAGCCCACACUAGGGGUGGCGCGCCCCCCACAGGGAUGGAGGCCGAAUAGGACUAGGAGAGGGGGUGGCGCCCCCCUUUCCUUCUCCCCCUCUCUCUCUUUCCCCCUUUCCCCUUCUGGUAAAAGGAAAGGGGGGCCGAAUCCAACUAGGAGCCCAAGUAGGAUUCCUCCUACUUGGGCGCGCCUAGGGCUGGCCACCUCCCCCUCCCUCCUUUAUAUACGUAGGGGGGGGGGGCUACAACACACAUCAAUUAUUCCAGGCCGUGUGGGGCGCCCCUCCACAGUUUACGCCUCCGGUGGUCCCGCACCUGCCAGGAUUCCGGGUCCGCAAUAAGGCUCUUCAGCUUGCAUCUUCGACACGGACAUCUUAUCUCCGUCUCGUUCUUUUGAAGCAUCUCGGCCUUCGCGGACCUCAAAAACCUAUUCACGAUGCCUUCGGUCAUCAUGCGGACCAUGGUCGCCUGCGGAGUAGAGCAAAACGAUAUUUUAGAACCAAGAAAAAAUUUGGCAUGACUUUUCCUAAAAAUAGGACCAAAAAGAAUGCUUAAUGCCAAAAUUCUCGCCGAAACGGAAAUGAAUCAACAUUCCGGCAAAAUAUUGGCAACUAUCGCAUUUCAAAUACCGGUACACCUCCAAACACAAACACAUAUGCAACACCACAAACAUAUGCAACACCACGAACAUACAUAGAUCUAGCUAGGCCAUAAAAAGUGCAUGUGCACAUUGUUGUAGGGAGAACAAUAUAAAUAUAGCUUCCCCCUUACUUACCUAUCAAAACAAGGUAAUUUAACCACUUAAAUUGAAUGAAUCUAUGAUGGAAAUGAGGUGAAAAAGAGGAGGCACCCGAGACAAGGAGGAGGUGGAGAGAAUGAAGUGGGGAGAAAGUGAGUGUGGGUAGGAGAGGCUGUCCAAAAUAUCUUGUUGCUGCCCACUUACUAAUGGCGCACCAACUCUAAAUGUGCCAUUAGUAAUCCAGGUUACUAAUGGCGCACCCUCUGGUGGUGCGCCAUUAGUAUGUUUGGACAGGUGCACUAGUUAAAAAAAAUUGAUACUAAUGGCGCACCCUGGACCUGGUGUCUGGAUGCGCCAUUAGUAUGUUUGGACAGGCGCACUAGUUAAAAAAAAUUUUGAUACUAAUAGCGCAACCUGAGACAGGUGCGCCAUUACUAGUUACAACUAGUAAUGGCGCACUGUGUCUGGAUGCGCCAUUAGUAUGUUUGGACAAGCGCACUAGCUAGUUAAAAAAAAUUGAUACUAAUGGCGCACCCUGGGCCAGGUGCGCCAUUACUAGUUGCAACUAGUAAUGGCGCACUCUGUCUGGAUGCGCCAUUAGUAUGUUUGGACAGGCGCACUAGUUAAAAAAAAAUUUGAUACUAAUAGCGCACCCUGCGCCUGGUGCGCCAUUAGUAGUUUCAACUCUAAUGACGUAUCAGAAGGUGGUGCGCCAUUAGUAUAUACUAAUGGCGUAUCGCUUGUCUGGUGCGCCAUUAGUGUCAAUCCCAUCUAUAACCCUUUUUCUAGUAGUGCAAAGUGGGAGGGGACGACUCGCAGGAACUUCCACACACGAUCCCCUCGUCGUCAACAGUGUCCUACCUGUAACUAUGUACUACUAUUAAGAAUGUGACGUGAAUCAAAAAGAUAAUGUAGUAAUGUACUAUGAUUUGAAAAGGUAUAACCGCGUAGGGAUUGGAGCGAGCGUUACAAACUAACUAUCCAAGUAUUAUCUUUGGGCGAUCAAUACUACUUAGUGCCGGUUAACAAGUCUUGUGUUGCUACCAUGCCCAUCAGUCAGUUUUCAUGGGGUUUUCGGAAUAUAUUCGCAGGGAGACCUGGAAAGGGUCCGCUUUCAACGGGGACAGAUGUACGGUGAUAUACUCGUCAUGACAUGUGGAAGAUUUUGAAACGGUCAUUACAUGUCAUCGGAGAGCCAACAAUCAAAAUUUGAACAGGAGAAAAAUAAUGCAGGGUGGAAUACUUCUAUCCCCCUUAGCGAGUCUCAACGCAAGUGCUUGCAUAAGCGAUUAUCAUAGGCGGAGCCAGGAUUUAGGCAUAGGGAGGAGGGGGGCUUUACUCAAAAGACAAAAGCUAGUAUUGGGCUUUUCUCUCAAGUUAUAUAUUACUAGGCUUCAGUUGGUGGCAGUUGGAUACCCUCAAAAAAAUAAGUUGGUGGCAGUUUUGUUUUUCCAAUACUUGUUAAAUUUAACUAAGACAAGCUUACGUACAUAUAGGACGAGACUGACCGAGACGUUGUUAUAUUUAACUCUUUUAUCUCUAGCAGGUUAUUUCAUUCGGUUAACUUUUUCUAGUUUAUUUUUUGUUGGCUUGGGCUUUAAUUAUGUUUUGUAAGUGUUUUUUCGUUUUUAUAUCGUGUCGCGAUGUUGUUGGAGACUAUAUUUGUUCGGAGUUGUUCGAUGCGUGGUUGUGGUGUCCUUACAUCAAUGUCGGUCAGUGGUUGUUAUUUGAGCCCAUCCCAUUCAGAGCUCUUAAUCCACGCUGAAUAUAUGAAAAUUGUUGUUAUAAUGCUCACAUGGGUCGGCCAACAAAACUCUCGCUCGCACAACUCGGCUUCCUGUUCCGCUCGCUCGCUCGCUUAGCUUUUGUUUUGCUCCACAGCUUACUACUAGCUUAGGAAAACCGUCUAUCAUUUUCUUAUUUGAAUUUUUUUGCUAAAUUCAAGGAAGGCACGGGUUUAAAAAAAUAUCUGGUUUUAGAAAACAUGAAUUUUAAAAAAUGUUCCCAAAGUUAAAAAAAUAUUCAUGGAUUCCAAACAAACACGAAUUUGAAAAAGGUACACAAAUUUAGAAGAUUUCAAAGACUAUAAAAAUAUUCAUGAACUUUAGAAAUAUUCAUAAGUAAAAAAGUGUUCAUUAAUUUUCAAAAAUGUUCAUGAAUUUUAAAAAUAACUCAACAUCCUAAAUUGUUCAAGAAUUUUAAUAAACAUUGCUGAAUUAAAAUGUAAAUCAAAUAUAAGAAUCAAAAAUCAAAAAGAAAGUAUAGAAAUGAAAAACUAUUAAAAAAAGAGUAGCAAAAAAACAAAGCAACACCUUAAAACUGGGAAAACAGGUCGGUCCAUUUCGGCUAGGUGUGUGUGUUACUUCUAACUAGCAACACACACAUUACAGGCCUGGCCCAUAGCUAAUUUUUUCUAAAUAAUACAUUUUUUUAUUAAUUUUCAUAAAUAUUAUGCUGGAUAAAAAAAAUUCAAAAAUAAUACACCGUCGGCCCGCUGCUGGCCGACUGGGCCUAGUCGGCCCACAGCAGGCCGAUUGGACUCCAGUCGGCCUACAGCUGGCCGACUGGCCCCUGUCGGCCCACUGUGGGCUGAUUGGGUCCUGUCAGCCCACUGUAGGCCGACUGGAGCUAAUUGGCUCGCUGAGGGCUAAUUGUUUUUGCAGAAAAAGUAGGCAUAAAAAAUAUAUGUUUAAAAAAAGUUAAUCAUGUAAUUAAAAAAUGUUAAACGCGUAUAAAAAAAUGUUUCUGAUGUAUACAAAAAAUGUACAAUAUAUAUGCAAAAAAGUUGACUAAAAUAUGUUUUAAAAAGUUUUAAUCAUGUAUUUAAAAAUUGUUAAAUGUGUGUAUAAAAAAUGUUCCUUAUCUAUACAAAAAAUAUAGAAUGUGUAUGAAAAAAGUUGACACCCAAAAAAUAUGUUUGAAAAAAAUGUUAAUCAUGUAUUUGAAAAAAUGUUCCUUAUCUAUACAAAAACUAUAGAAUGUGUAUGAAAAAAAAUUGACACCAAAAAAUAUGUUUGAAAAAAAUGUUAAUCAUGUAUUUGAAAAAAUGUUCAACAAGUACACAAAAAUGUUUCAUGUAUUAGAAUGAAAGGUUAAACGUGUAUAAAAAAUGUUCCAGCUCCGGAUCCGGUAUGGGAGCAUCCCGGACGUAAGUAUGAUUGGUUGCUCUUUUUGUAUGGAACUGGAACAUUUUUUUCAAACAUAUUUUUUUGGUGUCAACUUUUUUUCAUACACAUUCUAUAUUUUUUGAAUAGAUAAGAAACAUUUUUUAUACACACAUUUAACAAUUUUUAAUCAUGUAUUUGUAAAAAUGUCAACUUUUCAAACUUAUUUUUUUGGUGUCAAAUUUUUUUCAUACACAUUCUAUAUUUUUUGUAUAAAUAAGGAACAUUUUUUAUACACACAUUUAACAAUUUUUAAAUACAUGCUUAACACUUUUUAAAACUUAUUUUUUAUGUCAACUUUUUUGCAUAUAUAUUGUACAUUUUUUGUAUACAUCAGAACAUUUUUUAUACACGUUUAACAUUUUUUAGUUACAUGAUAAACAUUUUUUAAACAUAUAUUUUUUAUGCCUACUUUUUUUGCAAAAACAAUUAGCCCACAGCGAGCCAAUUAGCUUCAAUCGGCCCACAGUGGGCCGACAGGACGCAAUCAGCCCACAGUGGGCCGACAGGGGCCAGUCGGCCAGCUGUAGGCCCACUGGAAUCCAAUCGGCCUGCUGUGGGCCGACUAGGCCCAGUCGGCCUGCAGCGGGCCGACGGUGUAUUAUUUUUGAAAUUUUUUUAUCCAGCGUAAUAUUUAUGAAAAUUAAUAAAAAAAUGUAUUAUUUAAAAAAAAGCCGCCCUCACAGCCCUCGAUGCACCAAGCGGAUCUAAAUCUAGAAAGCUUAUUAACGAAUAAAAAUGAGAAAAAAUAAAAUUGAAAAUAAUAAUAAUAAUCAAACGAACAAAGAAAAACAAUAAGGAAAUUAUUUUAAAAGUUCACAACAGAAAAGAAAGAAAAGCAUAAGUCAGACAGUACCUUCACAAAAUGGGGAAAAGUGGCAAUCCAUUGCAGCUAGGCGUGUGUUACUGUAACACCCACAAUGCGGCUAUAUCUCCGACGUGUCGAGGCACGACUUAGAGGCAUAACCGCAUUGUGGUUUUGUUGCAAGAAGGGUCAUCUUCACACAAUCCCAUGUAAUGAACAAGAAUGGGAUAAAGAGUUGGCUUACAAUCGCCACUUCACACAAUACAUAAAUAAAUCAUGCAUCAACCAGAGUACACACAUAGGUCCGACUACGGAACCAAAAGAAAAGAAGACAACCCCAAAUGCCAGAUCCCUGAUCGUCCCAACUGGGCACCACUACUGAUCAACAUGAAAAGAAACAUAGUAACGACCACGGUCCUCGUCGAACUCCCACUUGAGCUCGGUUGCGUCGCCUGCACUGGUAUCGUCGGCACCUGCAACUGUUUUGGUAGAAUUUGUGAGUCACGAGGACUCAGCAAUCUCACACCCGCGAGAUCAAGACUAUUUAAGCUUAUAGGAAAGGAUGGGGUAAUGAGGUGGAGCUGCAGCAAGCACUAAGUAGAUGGUGGCUAACAUACGCAAAUGAGAGCGAGAAGAGAAGCAACGCAACGAUCGCGAAGCUAGAAAUGAUCAAGAAGUGAUCCUGAAACUACUUACGUUCAUACAUAACCCAAACCGUGUUCACUUCCCGGGCUCCGCCGAAAAGAGACCAUCACGGCUACACACACAGUUGAUGUAUUUUAAUUAAGUCAAGUGUCAAGUUCUCUACAACCGGGCAUUAACAAAUUCCCAUCUUCCUCAUAACCGUGGGCACGGCUUUCGAAAGAUAAUACCCUGCAGGGGUGUCCCAACUUAGCCCAUUAUAAGCUCUCACGGUCAACGAAGGAUAUUCCUUCUCCCAGGAAGACCCGAUCAGUCUCAGAAUCCCGGUUGACAAGACAUUUCGACAAUGGUAAAACAAGACCAGCAAAGCCGCCCGAUGCGCCGACAAUCCCGAUAGGAGCUGCACAUAUCUCGUUCUCAGGGCAACACCGGAUGAGACAUCCUACGAGUAAAACCAGCCCUCAAGUUUACCCGAGGUGGCCCCGCGGUCUACUCGGUUCAGACCAGCACUUAGAGAAGCACUGGCCCGGGGGGGUAAAAUAAAAAUGACCCUCGGGAUGCGCGACUCCCAAGGGAAAAGGCUAGGUGAGGCAAAUGUAAAACCAAGGUUGGGCCUUGCUGGAAGAGUUUUAUUCAAAGCGAACUGUCAAGGGGGUCCCAUAAAUCACCCAACCGCGUAAGGGACGCAAAAUCAAGGAAUAUAACACCGGUAUGACGGAAACUAGGGCGGCAAGAGUGGAACAAAACACUGGGCAUAAGGUCGAGCCUUCCACCCUUUACCAAAUAUAUAGAUGCAUUAAUUAAAUAAGAGAUAUUGUGAUAUUCCCAAAAUAUCCAUGUUCCAACAUGGAGCAAACUUCAUCUUCACCUGCAACUAUCAACGCUAUAAGAGGGGCUGAGCAAAAGCGGUAACAUAGCCAAACAACGUUUUGCUAGGAAAGGUGGGUUAGAGGUUUGACAUGGCAAUAUGGGAGGCAUGGUAUAGCAAGUGGUAGGUAGCGCGACAUAGCAAUAGAGCGAACAACUAGCAAGCAAAGAUAGAAGUGAUUUCGAGAGUAUGGUCAUCUUGCCUGAGAUCCCGCAAGGAAGAAGAACGAGUCCAAGAAGAAGAUGAACGGGCGUAGUCGAACGAAUCCUCACAACUCCGAAAGGAAACCGAAGCUAACGAGAGAAGCAACCCGGAAAGAGGCAAACAACAUAGUAAACAACCACCACAUACACAUGGCAUGAUGCACAAACAAGUAUGAUGCAUGUCCGAUUUAAAUAGCAUGGCAUGGCAAAGUGCAACAAACAACACUACAAAUUAAGUGGAGCUCAAUAUGCAACGAGUUGCAUAUUGACGAAACUUCACAACAUUUAUUUAGUUCGCUCUUGUUUAUGUAUCCAACAAUAUUAAAUGUUUUUAAACAUGGCAAGGGGUGAAGCAUAUGAAAACUACCUAUCUAGGCAAGUUUAAAUGAGGCCGGAACAACAAACAACAAUACCAGAAAAUCCCCAUAUGCAUAUUUUGGAUUUGGUACUGUUCUGCCCUAAACCAUAUUUUAGAGUUGUUAAACAUGCAAAGUAAUGCCACCAUGUUAAACUAGACAUUUUUUCCACCCCAUUUACAUAUCAAGUUUAUUAAAUUCGGAGAUACGGUUAUUUAGUUAUGAAAUAAAUCAUUUUAGCAUGGCAUUUGAGCAAACUUAAACAAACAGCAUUUUAAACAUUUUAAACAGGGGUGAAAGUUGCAUAUUAUGAAACUAGACAGAAUUCUACGCAUUUUACAUAUUAAAAUCAUUUUAAACCGAUGCACCAUUUGUGAGUUAUUAAAUGCAUGAUCUAGAGGGACUUUUCUGUAAAACAGGUAAAUCACUGGAUAAUUGAUAAAACCGCAGGCAGGAAAAAAAAACUACAUCGGGCCAAAUCUGACUGGCCCGAUGGGAGCAUGGGCGCUGGAAGCUCACCCAGCUGGCCCUGGCCCAGGGCGGUGGGAAGGUGAGGCCGGAAAGGGGGCGCUGGGCCUGGAGCUGGACUUGGCGAAAACGCGGUCAACGCGAGGCGAGGCGAGCGAGCUGCUGCUCGUUACUGAAGAACAGAGGCGACAACAGCAGGUUUAUGGCGACGGACGGCGGGAACGGCUGCCGGCGACGUGGGACUUGGGCGCGACGCUGGAGAGGAGGCAGGCUGCGGACGCGGCAGGAGGCAAGGGCUCGUGCUCGUCCUCGUCUCCGUGAAGCAGAACGACGACGACGGACUUGGCGUGAGCUCCUGGCAACAGGGAGGGGCGCGGUGAACGCUCAAACGACUCGAAGCAGAGGCAGGAGCGUCCUCCUCCUGCUCGAUGCAGAAGCAGAGGAAGAAGGCGCGGCGGCGCAGAAACUUGGCGGACGGAGGCGAGCGGCAAUGGGCGUCAGGAGGUGCGGGGAAGGCCGGGACGGUCCCGAUCUGGGAGGACCCGAGGCGGACGAGCGGUUCCUGGUGGUGGCUUGAGCGUCGGCGGCCAUGGAGCUCCAUGUGCCCCUGUGUUCCCUGCGAGAGAGAGGAAGUAGGGAGAUGAGAGGGAGAGAGAGAAAGCGAAGGGAAGGGAGAAGAGACAAGGGCGCGCGGGGAACUCAUCUGCUGGCAAUGGUGAGCUGCGGCUUGCUUGGGGACAGAAGGACGGGCGCCACGCUCGGGGUUGCUGGUGCUGCUAAACAUCGGGAGGACGGAGAGGACAGAGCAAGGCGGCGGUGGAGCAUCUGGGCACGAGGAAGUGGCCUGGUGGUGCGGUGGUCGGUGGCUGGCCUCGGGAGGAGCUCGUGCUGAACCGGCGGGUGGCGCUACAGCAGGAUGGAGUUGGAUUGGUGAGUGGCUGCGAGAUGUGGUUGGAUCGGGGAUGCAAAACGAGGAGGUGGUUGGUUCGGCCGGGUGGGGUGGAUGGAUUGGAUCAGGGAGGAUCCCGAUGUAGAUGGUGGCGGCACUAGGGUAGGAUCCCUAGAAAUUGGGUGGUUUGUCUAGGUUAGGUUAGGGGGUCUAUAUAUAGCAAGUCGGUUUUUGGAUAAGGGCAUUUGGUCCCUCCGAUCUUAAUCGGACUGUCCCGGAAAAAUAGGCUAGGGAGACCAAACAAGAAAACGGAGAUGUUAUAUAGAUGUUUGGGGAUAAUCUGGACCCAACUGUAACAACAAACCGGGUCGGGUACGGGACAACUUUCGGACGCGCGGGAGGGGAUCGCGGGCUGACGAGAGAUGUUAGUUGGUUUGACAAGAGGGAACCGAAAACACGGUUGGUCUCGGAACGGUCAAUGGAGACAAGGGGGGGACGCGGCAACUACGAACGAAUGCAAGUUUUAAAAACAAAGACGGUAACGAAUGCCGAUGCAAUGCGGAUGAUGCCAUGAUGAAAUGCAACAAACAAAAUAAAACACACGGUGACAACAAGGUGGUUGGAAGACUUCUGGAGCGUCGGUCUUGGGGCGUUACAGUUACGCUCAACCAUCGACACACACCCUUACAAGCGGGGUCCACAGCAACCCAUAGCCACUGACGCACCAGGACGCUCCAAAUCUAGGGAGCUUAGUAUCUGCAAAUUAGAUGUCUAUUCUAGGAGAAGAUCUAAAAUGAGCAUAUGUGUAUUUAUGGAAUAUAGAGAGCAUUAAUACCAUGAGCUACAAAACGAGCACCACUAUAUCCUAGUGCAUUCUAUGGGCACUCAACAUUUGGAUAUCCAUGAUCAAGCUAUGUUGCAAUCAUGAAUCUAUGAAUGAGAUCCAUGUUAUAUGUUAGACUUCGACGUUGUGUUGCAUUAAUGAAUCUAUGUAUGAGACCAAUCUUGGAUAUGCAUGAUCAAGUUGUGUUGCAUUAAUGAGUCUCGAUGUUAUAUGUGUUACUAUGAGAAGAUCUAAAAUGAGUAUCUAUGUAUUUGUGGAACAUAGAGAGCGUUAAUACGACGAGAUCCGAAAUGAGCACCUAUAUAUCCGUGUGCAUUCUACAGACAUUCAUCAUUUAGAUAUCACUGAUCGGGCUACAUUAAUGAAUCUGUGGAUGAGAUCCAUCUUGGAUAUCCAUGUUCAAGUUUUGUUGCAGUAAUGAGUCUAUGGAUGCUAGAUGUGUUACUAUGAAAAGAUCUAAAAUGAGCAUUUGUGUAUUUGUGGAACAUAGAGAGCAUUAAUACAAUGAGUUCCAAAAUGAGCACCAGUAUAUCCAUGUGCAUUCCACUGACACUCAUCAUUUGGAUAUCCAUGAUCAAGCAAUGUUACAUUAAAGAAUAUGUGGAAGCUACAUGUGUAUUAAAAAAGAAAAUCUGAAAUGAGCAUCAAUUGUAUUUGUGAAUAUAAAGGGCAUUAUUACCAGGAGGUGGAAAAUGUGCACAGGUUGGACACUAAUUAAUAUGCAUAUCUGUGAUCGACCGGCAUACUGCAUUUAUGAAUUCUCAGUGCACGCACUAUAAAUAAAACUCAACUUCAUGAACACCUCCAUCCAUCCAUCUCUACAAUACACAUCCUUCUCUAUCCAUUUCACUCCAUCUCCCUCUGCUUCAAUAUAGUUAAAGGUUUCUAUCUUAGCUAGCCUUCUAGCAAUGGCAACAAUGGCGCCGACCUCCAUCGUCUUCUCCGUGGUCGUCUUCCUGCUCCUUUCCAAUGCCAUCACCACUCAAGCCGGCGGCUCUGGCAGUGGCAAACCUAAGGCAACAAGCCUCAUAGUGGAAGCGUGCAAGAACGCCUCAGGCGAGAGCCAAGACACCGGUGUCACAAAGGAAUUCUGUUUGUCGACCCUCCAGUUGGACAGUCGGAGCGCCAAGGCUAAAGACCUCUGUGACUUGGUGGUCAUCUCGAUUGACAUCCUGAAGGGCCGUGUCAGUGAUGCUGGCGUCAAGGUAAAGAAAAUGCUGCAAAACGCCAAGAAAGGCACGCUGACAAUGUAUGCUCUCAGCAU